CUAGCUACGGCGGUACAUAUUCUAAAAUUGGAACGAUAUAGAGAAGAUUAGCAUGGCCCUUGCGCAAGGAUGACACGCAAAAAAAAAAAAAAAAAAGGGCGGCG
RNAcentral lists this small nuclear RNA (104 nucleotides) under Octopus vulgaris (common octopus). Lineage: Eukaryota; Metazoa; Mollusca; Cephalopoda; Octopoda; Octopodidae. The record is from RNAcentral. RNAcentral also lists the same sequence under 1 other name.